GAUGAAGAACGUAGUGAAAUGCGAUACUUGGUGUGAAUUGCAGAAUCCCGUGAACCAUCGAGUCUUUGAACGCAAGUUGCGCCCGAAGCCACUAGGCCGAGGGCACGCCUGCCUGGGCGUCACACGCCGUUGCCCCCCCAUCUACUCUUUCGGGAUUGCGGGGGGGCGGAUGAUGGCCUCCCGUGCGCCUAGCCGCGCGGUUGGCAUAAAUACCAAGUCCUCGGCGACGCACGCCACGACAAUCGGUGGUUGCGAAACCUCGGUUGCCCGUCGUGUGCGUUCGUCGCGCAUCGAGGGCUCGAAAAAAUGCUCGGCUCCGGCUGGGCUUUCAACGCGACCCCAGGUCAGGCGGGGUUACCCGCUGAAUUUAAGCAUAUCAAUAAGCGGAGGA
RNAcentral lists this unclassified non-coding RNA (391 nucleotides) under soil metagenome. RNAcentral describes it as "partial contains 5.8S ribosomal RNA, internal transcribed spacer 2, and large subunit ribosomal RNA". The stretch from base 1 to 122 matches the Rfam family "5.8S ribosomal RNA", at positions 35 to 154 of the family's 154-position model. The record is from RNAcentral.